Hordeum vulgare subsp. vulgare (domesticated barley) is the source of this 1932-nucleotide long non-coding RNA. RefSeq lists it as uncharacterized. NCBI's taxonomy places the organism in Eukaryota, Viridiplantae, Streptophyta, Magnoliopsida, Poales, Poaceae. The record is from RefSeq and is a predicted model, not a curated record. The transcript has 8 exons.
UUUUGUCUCUAAACCAACUACACAGUGCGCCUCACUCAAUCCCCUUUCUCCUCGUCUUGAUCCACCCGUCUCUCUCUCUAGUACGGCGCCACUAGGGUUCCGAUUCACGCCACCGCCGCCGUCGUCGUCUAUCGCAGGGCGCGUCCCUGCUUCCACGUUGAUCCACGGUCGACGUCGUCGCUCCUUCCACCAGCAGCCAACCGACUCGCGAGCGCGUGGCCCUCCUUGCAUCGAUUGCCUACUGAGGCCACCUCGCCCGCUCCCUCCCAUGGCGCCACUAUCCUAACCCAUGCCCAACUCCCUUUUCCCUCCUUCCAUGGCAGCCGUUCUGAAGGGGGGGGGGGGGGCAAGGUCCCUUCGCUCCCAUUGGUAUGAAGAGAGGGAAGCAACCUCUACUCCCUCCGCAUCCGGUGAACUAGGAACAUGGUGGCAACGACAUGGGUAAGAUAUUCCUCCCGCAUAUGGUCUCCCUCCUCUCCUCUCUACCUCUAGUGUGCAGGUUUCAACCCCCAACGAUGGACCCAGGCACCACAUCCGCCCAGCAAUUUUAUCUCAAAAAAACUAGCUCUGCUUUGAUUCAUGGAUUGGUAUGCGUAGUUGUGUUUUCUUCAGCAUGUUGUCUAUUCUAUAUAUGUCUUACCUGUGUAAAUCCUUUGUUUCAGAUCUAAAAUGUUUCCUCAGAAUGAAUAGUUUAUGCCAUGUGAAACAUUGCUGCUAUGAAUGAUGCGUGGUGUAGGGAAUUCUGAAAGUUCCCUCAAGAUUUUACCUGUUUCUAUUUGAUAGUUAUAUGCUAACAUAUUUGUUAAUCAUGUCAAAGGGGGUGUAUCAGCAAUAGUUAGCCAAAACUGGAGGGGUUCACAGGAAAGCAAGCAAAGAGGGGGCAUAAGAUCGAAGGCGCGUGAGCUGGGGGGGAUUGUUAGACUUGCGCCCUUGCAGACAUACUCAUCUGUGGCUCUCUAAUCAGAUCCAGGCGCUGCCUCCCAUGUAGCAGGGGCCAAACUAUGCACCACCGUAGGCAUAGUAGGAUCUCUAAUCAGAUGAGCUGCAUCCACUAUUGUACGCAUGUUAAGCUGGGGCGAUGAAAUUGCAUGUGUAUUGCUGAACAGCCCAUCGAUCUUUGAGAAGAUUUUCUCUCAUGAGUUUAUUCUUGACAUCAUAGGCGCCCUUGAAUUUAUGAGGCAUCCAAAGCAAGGAGAGGAUGGAUGAACUCGACAAUUUCCGAAGUUUACCCGUAUUUGGUCAGGCAAGAAUCUGAACAAUAUCCCCACAGUUGUUUUUGUAUCCCAACAUACCACCAUGGUGAGUAUAUGUGUUCCAAUGAGAGGAUGGUGCUAGCUUAACUCCUGAAUAAGGAAAACAAUAUAUUGAGCCUGUGAAGAAGGCUGCCAUCGAGAUAAAGAGCGAGCACCCCAAGGUAUACAACGUUGACUUACAAAUAUGAUGGUUUACGAUUUGUCGCCGAUGCUGUCACGAGCUCCAUUGCAUGGCCAUCUAGCAAGUAGAUGAAACCCUACAAGCCAGGGGCAUCUUCGUCAUCCCAUCGCUAAGGUUGCUGUCAGGUGGUGUAGGGAAAACAAGAGGACCAAGAAGGAACCAUGAAGUUGUCAAUUUGCGUCAACUGGAUAUCUUCUAUAACGGAGCAAAAGCAAUGCAUCUCGUAGCUACCAUUUUGCAAAGGAUAUCUUGUGUAACGGAACAAGCAUUGAAUCGUCGGUUAUGCAUCUAUCAUUUUUUAAACCUAUCGUCUGUUUCGGUCACCACUAAGACAAAUGUUUCCACUUUUUUAGUUACCUCUAUUAUGAGAACUAUUAAUAUUAUUUUGUUUGCUUCAGGUUUGAUAUUUCAGAGUCGUGAAAGUUAUUGUAACUUGUUAGAGAAUGAUGAGAUAUGUAACCUGAUUGAUAUUGUUUUGAUAAAAUAAUAUGAUAAAUA